CCUACGGGUGGCAGCAGUGGGGAAUAUUGCGCAAUGGGCGAAAGCCUGAAGCAGCGACGCCGCGUGAGGGAUGAAGGUCUUCGGAUCGUAAAACUCUGUCAGCAGGGAAGAAAGGUCACUGUGCUAAUCAGCAGUGAAUUGACGGUACCUGCAAAGGAAGCACCGGCUAACUCCGUGCCAGCAGCCGCGGUAAUACGGAGGGGGCGAGCGUUAAUCGGACUUACUGGGCGUAAAGCGAUCGUUGGCGGUAUGUCAAGUCAAGGGUGAAAUCCCCGCGCUCAACGUGGGAACUGCCUGUGAAACUGGCAAACUGGAGUGUGUGAGAGGAUAGUGGAAUUCCAGUUGUAGGGGUGAAAUCCGUAGAUAUCUGGAGGAACAUCAGUGGCGAAGGCGACUAUCGGGCACAUAACUGACGCUGAGGAGCGAAAGCGUGGGAAGCAAACAGGAUUAGAUACCCCAGUAGUC
RNAcentral lists this ribosomal RNA (465 nucleotides) under uncultured bacterium. RNAcentral's name for it is "partial 16S ribosomal RNA". It matches the Rfam family "Bacterial small subunit ribosomal RNA", at positions 338 to 795 of the family's 1533-position model. The record is from RNAcentral.